UUAAGCGAAUAAGCGUACACGGUGGAUGCCUAGGCAAUCAGAGGCGAUGAAGGACGUGCUAAUCUGCGAUAAGCGUCGGUAAGGUGAUAUGAACCGUUAUACCCGACGAUUUCCGAAUGGGGAAACCCAAUAUCCAAUGGAUAUUAUCAUGACGUGAAUACAUAGCGUCAUGAAGCGAACCGGGAGAACUGAAACAUCUCAGUACCCCGAGGAAAAGAAAUCAACCGAGAUUCCCCUAGUAGCGGCGAGCGAACGGGGAACAGCCCAGAGUCUUAAUCAACAGCAGCAUCAGGAGAACGGUCUGGAAAGUCCGGCAGUAAAGGGUGAUAGCCCCGUAUCUGAAGAUGCUGUUAUUGUGAACUCGACGAGUAGGGCGGGACACGUGUUAUCCUGUCUGAAUAUGGGGGGACCAUCCUCCAAGGCUAAAUACUCCUGAUUGACCGAUAGUGAACCAGUACCGUGAGGGAAAGGCGAAAAGAACCCCGGCGAGGGGAGUGAAAAAGAACCUGAAACCGUGUACGUACAAGCAGUAGGAGCCUCUUUAUGGGGUGACUGCGUACCUUUUGUAUAAUGGGUCAGCGACUUAUAUUCUGUAGCAAGGUUAACCGUAUAGGGGAGCCGUAGGGAAACCGAGUCUUAACUGGGCGAAUGAGUUGCAGGGUAUAGACCCGAAACCCGGUGAUCUAUCCAUGGGCAGGUUGAAGGUUGGGUAACACUAACUGGAGGACCGAACCGACUAAUGUUGAAAAAUUAGCGGAUGACUUGUGGAUGGGGGUGAAAGGCCAAUCAAACCGGGAGAUAGCUGGUUCUCCCCGAAAGCUAUUUAGGUAGCGCCUCGUGAACUCAUCUUCGGGGGUAGAGCACUGUUUCGACUAGGGGGUCAUCCCGACUUACCAACUCGAUGCAAACUGCGAAUACCGAAGAAUGUUAUCACGGGAGACACACGGCGGGUGCUAACGUCCGUCGUGAAGAGGGAAACAACCCAGACCGCCAGCUAAGGUCCCAAAGUCAUGGUUAAGUGGGAAACGAAGUGGGAAGGCUCAGACAGCCAGGAUGUUGGCUUAGAAGCAGCCAUCAUUUAAAGAAAGCGUAAUAGCUCACUGGUCGAGUCGGCCCGCGCGGAAGAUGUAACGGGGCUAAACCAUGCACCGAAGCUGCGGCAGCGACACUUAUGUGUUGUUGGGUAGGGGAGCGUUCUGUAAGCCUGCGAAGGUGUACUGUGAGGUAUGCUGGAGGUAUCAGAAGUGCGAAUGCUGACAUAAGUAACGAUAAUGCGGGUGAAAAACCCGCACGCCGGAAGACCAAGGGUUCCUGUCCAACGUUAAUCGGGGCAGGGUGAGUCGACCCCUAAGGCGAGGCUGAAAAGCGUAGUCGAUGGGAAACGGGUUAAUAUUCCCGUACUGGUGGUAACUGCGAUGGGGGAACGGAGAAGGCUAGGUUGUCCGGGCGACGGUCGUCCCGGUUCAAGCAUGUAGGCAGAGUGAUUAGGCAAAUCCGGUCACUUAAUGCUGAGGUGUGAUGACGAGCCACUAAGGUGGUGAAGCAAUUGAUGCCCUGCUUCCAGGAAAAGCCUCUAAGCUUCAGGUUACCAACAAUCGUACCCCAAACCGACACAGGUGGUCAGGUAGAGAAUACUCAGGCGCUUGAGAGAACUCGGGUGAAGGAACUAGGCAAAAUGGUGCCGUAACUUCGGGAGAAGGCACGCUGGCGGUAAGUGAAGUCCCUUGCGGACGGAGCCGAAGCCAGUCGAAGAUACCAGCUGGCUGCAACUGUUUAUUAAAAACACAGCACUGUGCAAACACGAAAGUGGACGUAUACGGUGUGACGCCUGCCCGGUGCUGGAAGGUUAAUUGAUGGGGUUAUCCGUAAGGAGAAGCUCUUGAUCGAAGCCCCAGUAAACGGCGGCCGUAACUAUAACGGUCCUAAGGUAGCGAAAUUCCUUGUCGGGUAAGUUCCGACCUGCACGAAUGGCGUAAUGAUGGCCAGGCUGUCUCCACCCGAGACUCAGUGAAAUUGAACUCGCUGUGAAGAUGCAGUGUACCCGCGGCAAGACGGAAAGACCCCGUGAACCUUUACUAUAGCUUGACACUGAACAUUGAGCCUUGAUGUGUAGGAUAGGUGGGAGACUUAGAAGUGUGGACGCCAGUCUGCAUGGAGUCAACCUUGAAAUACCACCCUUUAACGUUUGAUGUUCUAACCUAGGUCCAUAAUCUGGAUCGGGGACCGUGUCUGGUGGGUAGUUUGACUGGGGCGGUCUCCUCCUAAAGAGUAACGGAGGAGCACGAAGGUUGGCUAAGCAUGGUCGGACAUCAUGCGGUUAGUGCAAAGGCAUAAGCCAGCUUGACUGUGAGAGUGACGGCUCGAGCAGGUACGAAAGUAGGUCUUAGUGAUCCGGUGGUUCUGAAUGGAAGGGCCAUCGCUCAACGGAUAAAAGGUACUCCGGGGAUAACAGGCUGAUACCGCCCAAGAGUUCAUAUCGACGGCGGUGUUUGGCACCUCGAUGUCGGCUCAUCACAUCCUGGGGCUGAAGUAGGUCCCAAGGGUAUGGCUGUUCGCCAUUUAAAGUGGUACGCGAGCUGGGUUUAGAACGUCGUGAGACAGUUCGGUCCCUAUCUGCCGUGGGCGUUGGAAGAUUGAGAGGGGUUGCUCCUAGUACGAGAGGACCGGAGUGAACGCACCACUGGUGUUCGGGUUGUCAUGCCAAUGGCAUUGCCCGGUAGCUAAGUGCGGAAGAGAUAACCGCUGAAAGCAUCUAAGCGGGAAACUUGCCUCGAGAUGAGUCUUCCCUGUCACCUUGAGUGACCUAAAGGAACGUUUAAGACUAAGACGUUGAUAGGCUGGGUGUGUAAGCGUAGCGAUACGUUGAGCUAACCAGUACUAAUGAACCGUGAGGCUUAACCUG
Molecule: ribosomal RNA, 2902 nt
Filed under: Proteus vulgaris
Lineage: Bacteria; Pseudomonadati; Pseudomonadota; Gammaproteobacteria; Enterobacterales; Morganellaceae
Description: bacterial LSU rRNA
Rfam family: Bacterial large subunit ribosomal RNA
Source: RNAcentral